This 253-nucleotide ribosomal RNA is filed under the name uncultured bacterium. RNAcentral's name for it is "partial 16S ribosomal RNA". It matches the Rfam family "Bacterial small subunit ribosomal RNA", at positions 524 to 776 of the family's 1533-position model. The record is from RNAcentral.
UACGUAGGGGGCUAGCGUUGUCCGGAAUCAUUGGGCGUAAAGCGCGUGUAGGCGGCCCGGUAAGUCCGCUGUGAAAGUCCAGGGCUCAACCCUGGGAUGCCGGUGGAUACUGUCGGGCUCGAGUCCGGAAGAGGCGAGUGGAAUUCCUGGUGUAGCGGUGAAAUGCGCAGAUAUCAGGAGGAACACCGGUGGCGAAGGCGGAUCUCUGGGCCUUACCUGACGCUGAGGCGCGAAAGCUAGGGGAGCGAACAGG